GACGAACGCUGGCGGCGUGCUUAACACAUGCAAGUCGAACGGUAAGGCCCUUCGGGGUCCACGAGUGGCGAACGGGUGAGUAACGCGUGAGUAACCUGCCCUUCACUCUGGGAUAACAGUUGGAAACGGCUGCUAAUACCGGAUAUUCAGCUCCUGUCGCAUGGUGGGGGUUGGAAAGUUUUGGUGGUGGAGGAUGGGCUCGCGUCCUAUCAGCUUGUUGGUGGGGUGAUGGCCUACCAAGGCGUCGACGGGUAGCCGGCCUGAGAGGGCGACCGGCCACAUUGGGACUGAGAUACGGCCCAAACUCCUACGGGAGGCAGCAGUGGGGAAUAUUGCACAAUGGGCGGAAGCCUGAUGCAGCAACGCCGCGUGCGGGAUGACGGCCUUCGGGUUGUAAACCGCUUUCAGCAGGGACGAAGCGCAAGUGACGGUACCUGCAGAAGAAGCACCGGCUAACUACGUG
This 463-nucleotide ribosomal RNA is filed under the name uncultured bacterium. Its description in RNAcentral is "partial 16S ribosomal RNA". It matches the Rfam family "Bacterial small subunit ribosomal RNA", at positions 28 to 507 of the family's 1533-position model. The record is from RNAcentral.